This 246-nucleotide long non-coding RNA is filed under the name Vigna radiata. RNAcentral describes it as "long non-coding RNA (VRAD_LNC010674)". Lineage: Eukaryota; Viridiplantae; Streptophyta; Magnoliopsida; Fabales; Fabaceae. The record is from RNAcentral.
CUAUAUACUGUAACAGAUAAUAUAAUAAUAUACAAGUGCAUGUGCAUGUGCACUCCUUGGUGGAAAUUGGUUUAGGUAUCUCUUGUAUUUAUAUUAAUUUUAUUCCUUUUCUAUUUACAAAAAGAAAAACAGCUUAAGUAAAAUACCUUUUCUCCAUGCAAUUUAAGGAGGUCUAGAAGCAAAAAUGAAAUGAAAAAACACUGCAGUUUAUAGUCACAAAAAUCAAUAGAAAAAAUACAAACAAAA